AUUGAACGCUGGCGGCAUGCUUUACACAUGCAAGUCGAACGGCAGCGCGGGCUUCGGCCUGGCGGCGAGUGGCGAACGGGUGAGUAAUACAUCGGAACGUGCCCAGUAGUGGGGGAUAGCUCGGCGAAAGCCGGAUUAAUACCGCAUCCGACCUGAGGGUGAAAGCGGGGGUUCUUCGGACCUCGCGCUUUUGGAGCGGCCGAUGGCAGAUUAGCUAGUUGGUGGGGUAAAGGCCUACCAAGGCGACGAUCUGUAGCUGGUCUGAGAGGACGACCAGCCACACUGGGACUGAGACACGGCCCAGACUCCUACGGGAGGCAGCAGUGGGGAAUUUUGGACAAUGGGCGAAAGCCUGAUCCAGCAAUGCCGCGUGUGUGAUGAAGGCCUUCGGGUUGUAAAGCACUUUUGGCGGGAACGAAAAGGACUGUGCCAAUACCACGGUUCGAUGACGGUACCCGCAGAAUAAGCACCGGCUAACUACGUG
This 484-nucleotide ribosomal RNA is filed under the name uncultured bacterium. Its description in RNAcentral is "partial 16S ribosomal RNA". It matches the Rfam family "Bacterial small subunit ribosomal RNA", at positions 29 to 507 of the family's 1533-position model. The record is from RNAcentral.